GACGAACGCUGGCGGCGUGCUUAACACAUGCAAGUCGAACGAAGAGCGAUGGAAGCUUGCUUCUGUCAAUCUUAGUGGCGAACGGGUGAGUAACGCGUAAUCAACCUGCCCUUCAGAGGGGGACAACAGUUGGAAACGACUGCUAAUACCGCAUACGAUCCAAUCUCGGCAUCGGGACUGGAUGAAAGGUGGCCUCUAUUUAUAAGCUAUCACUGAAGGCGGGGAUUGCGUCUGAUUAGCUAGUUGGAGGGGUAACGGCCCACCAAGGCGAUGAUCAGUAGCCGGUCGGAGAGGAUGAACGGCCACAUUGAGACUGAGACACGGCCCAGACUCCUACGGGAGGCAGCAGGGGGGAAGCUUCCGCGAUGGAUGAGAGUCUGACGGAGCAACGCCGCGUGAGUGAUGACGGCCGUCGGGUGGGAUAGCUCUGUUAAUCGGGACGAAUGGUUCUUGUGCGAAUAGGGCGAGGAGUUGACGGUACCGGAAGAGAAAGCCACGGCUAACUACGUG
Molecule: ribosomal RNA, 510 nt
Filed under: uncultured bacterium
Lineage: Bacteria
Description: partial 16S ribosomal RNA
Rfam family: Bacterial small subunit ribosomal RNA
Source: RNAcentral